UUUAAUUAGAGGAAGGAGGGGAGGACGUCAAGUCAUCAUUCCCCUCAUGUCCAGGGCUUCACACAUGCUACAAUGACCGGUACAGAGGGCUGCGAUACCCUGAGGUGGAGCGAAUCCCUUAAAGCCGGUCUCAGUUCGGAUCGGGGUCUGCAACUAGACCCCGUGAAGUCGGAGUCGCUAGUAAUCGCAGAUCAGCAACGCUGCGGUGAAUACGUUCCCGGGCCUUGUACACACCGCCCGUCACGUCAUGAAAGUUGGUAACACCCGAAGCCGGUGGCCCAACCCCUUGUGGGAGGGAGCCGUCGAAGGUGGGAUUGGCGAUGGGACGAAGACUAUGAGAAGG
RNAcentral lists this ribosomal RNA (343 nucleotides) under Williamsia sp. M11.1.2. RNAcentral's name for it is "bacterial SSU rRNA". It matches the Rfam family "Bacterial small subunit ribosomal RNA", at positions 1158 to 1496 of the family's 1533-position model. Lineage: Bacteria; Bacillati; Actinomycetota; Actinomycetes; Mycobacteriales; Nocardiaceae. The record is from RNAcentral.